CUACAGUACAGUGACAGUAUAUUGUCUAAACAACUGAAGGUUAAGGACCUUGCUCAAGGUCCCAACAGAUACAACCUGGCAGAGGCGCCUCCAAUCAGCCGGCAGAGGUCAUAAUCGCAUUCUGACAGAGAGAGACCCACAUCCAGUUCUUUGUCCCACCCCCCAACUGAGCAACCAGCCAAUCGUUGCUCAUACAGCCGCCCAGCCUCGAACCGGGGAGGCAGAGCUGGAUUCGAAACGAUGUACUCAGAUUCCAGCCCUGGUUGCAUGUCUUUUUUACCGCUGCGCCACCUGAGCGGCUAACUGCUAAAGAAGUUAAUGCUGUAUACAUAUAUACACGUAUAUAUCAGUCAGCAUAUAACAAACUAAUAUGUUUUAUGUAGGAUUUUAACGUCAUGUUUUACACACUUUGGUUACAUUCAUGACAAAAAUGGUAGUUACUCGUUACACAGGGUUCAUCAGUUCACAAGUUUAAUGUCAAACACAGUCAUGGACAAUUUGGAUCACCUUGGACUGCAAGGACCCGGACCGCCCCACCUAGGGAUCAAACCCUGGACCUUUUUGCUGUCAGGUGACAGUGCUAUCUACGAAGCCACCGUGCCACCCUGAAUUAAAAUAAAUAGUGGCUGAUUAGUGAAAAUACAUUUUGUAAUUGUAUAAUAACAGCUAUUAAAACAGCAAUGCCAAA
Molecule: long non-coding RNA, 688 nt
Organism: Trichomycterus rosablanca
Lineage: Eukaryota; Metazoa; Chordata; Actinopteri; Siluriformes; Trichomycteridae
Exons: 2
Source: RefSeq, a predicted model, not a curated record